GACGAACGCUGGCGGCGUGCUUAACACAUGCAAGUCGAACGGUGAUGCUCCAGCUUGCUGGAGUGGAUCAGUGGCGAACGGGUGAGUAACACGUGAGCAACCUGCCCCAGACUCUGGAAUAAGCGCUGGAAACGGCGUCUAAUACUGGAUACGAAACUGGCCCGCAUGGGCAUGGUUUGGAAAGUUUUUCGGUUUGGGAUGGGCUCGCGGCCUAUCAGCUUGUUGGUGAGGUAAUGGCUCACCAAGGCGACGACGGGUAGCCGGCCUGAGAGGGCGACCGGCCACACUGGGACUGAGACACGGCCCAGACUCCUACGGUAGGCAGCAGUGGGGAAUAUUGCACAAUGGGCGAAAGCCUGAUGCAGCGACGCCGCGUGAGGGAUGACGGCCUUCGGGUUGUAAACCUCUUUCAGCAGGGAAGAAGCGAAAGUGACGGUACCUGCAGAAGAAGCACCGGCUAACUACGUG
This 468-nucleotide ribosomal RNA is filed under the name uncultured bacterium. RNAcentral's name for it is "partial 16S ribosomal RNA". It matches the Rfam family "Bacterial small subunit ribosomal RNA", at positions 28 to 507 of the family's 1533-position model. The record is from RNAcentral.